GAUGAACGCUGGCGGCGUGCCUAAUACAUGCAAGUCGAGCGAACAGACGAGGCGCUUGCUUCUCUGACGUUAGCGGCGGACGGGUGAGUAACACGUGGAUAACCUACCUAUAAGACUGGGAUCACUUCGGGAAACCGGAGAUAAUACCGGAUAAUAUAUUGAACCGCAUGGUUCAAUAGUGAAAGCCGGUUUUGCUGUCACUUAUAGAUGGAUCCGCGCCGCAUUAGCUAGUUGGUAAGGUAACGGCUUACCAAGGCAACGAUGCGUAGCCGACCUGAGAGGGUGAUCGGCCACACUGGAACUGAGACACGGUCCAGACUCCUACGGGAGGCAGCAGUAGGGAAUCUUCCGCAAUGGGCGAAAGCCUGACGGAGCAACGCCGCGUGAGUGAUGAAGGUCUUCGGAUCGUAAAACUCUGUUAUUAGGGAAGAACAAAUGUGUAAGUAACUAUGCACGUCUUGACGGUACCUAAUCAGAAAGCCACGGCUAACUACGUG
Molecule: ribosomal RNA, 497 nt
Filed under: uncultured bacterium
Lineage: Bacteria
Description: partial 16S ribosomal RNA
Rfam family: Bacterial small subunit ribosomal RNA
Source: RNAcentral